CAUCGGUACCUCUUCGAGAGGUUUCGGUGCUGUAGGGAAGCCGAAGAGUGUGCUACCUGGGAAGUAUAGUCGCAAGGCCGAAACUUAAAGGAAUUGGCGGGGGGGCACUACAACGAGUGACGCGUGCGGUUCAAUCAGAUUCCACACCGUGAACCUCACCAGGAGCGACAGCAGAAUGAAGGUCAGUCUGAAGGGCUUACCUGACUCGCUGAGAGGAGGUGCAUGGCCGACGUCAGCCUGUGUCGUGAGAUGACUUGUUAAAUCAAGUAACAGGCGAGACCCGCAUGUAUAGUUGCUAUGUGCACACUAUACAGACUGCCUUGGUAACAAGGAGGAAGGUACGGGCUACGUUAGGUGGUAUGCCCCGAAUCCCCUGGGCGACACGCGCGCGGCAAUGCUGGACUCAAUGAGAUGCGACUCCGAGAGGAGAAGCUAAUCCCAUAAUAUUCAGCUCAGUUCAGAUUGAGGUUUGCAACUCAACCUCAUGACGCUGGAAUUCGUAGUAAUCGGGUGUCAACACCGCCCGGUGAAUAUGUCCCUGCCCCUUGCACACACUGCCCGUCAAACCAACCGAGUUUUGUUUUGGUGAGGCCCAAUAGGGACAAAUCCUGGCAAGACAAGGUAGGUUAAGUCGUAACAAGGUAGCC
Molecule: ribosomal RNA, 647 nt
Filed under: uncultured archaeon
Lineage: Archaea
Description: bacterial SSU rRNA
Rfam family: Archaeal small subunit ribosomal RNA
Source: RNAcentral